This is a non-coding RNA of Paramuricea clavata, 527 nucleotides long. Lineage: Eukaryota; Metazoa; Cnidaria; Anthozoa; Malacalcyonacea; Plexauridae. The record is from the annotation of a GenBank genome assembly.
AAAGAAUUAAUACCGAAACAACAGCGAAAAAAACAUGUUCAUUGAGAAUAUAAAUUGUUCAGAAAAGUUUGUAACGAAAGACAAAUGAAUUUGCAGUCAACAAGCACUUAUAUACUAUACUACCAAACAUCUGUAUAAUAUAUCUGAGCUUUUCUGUGAGAUAUACCGGUUCUAAAACCAUUUCUUUCACUUCGUCUUCGAGUUGUAAAACAAAAGUAUUUCAAAUUUUCAAGGCCAAGCGGUUUUUGACCGAACAAGUUGUCAAGACAUUGUAACAGAGGAUAAUUAAUUAUUGCUUCAGUUAAUGGCUAUUAUAGACUUUAGUAUAAACCUACUAGUAGGCUAUCACAUUUCGUGCCUUCUGAUUGGCUACGCUACUAGUAGGCUAUUAGUGAUAGCCUACUAAUAGAAAAUUUAGAAUGGCGGAAAAUUCGCGUUUUGCACUUUUGCCGAAGUGUCUGAUGAUUUUUUGGACGACUUAUUGAACAAUUCUGUACUAAAAAAACCCCCCAAAAAGCAACAAAAAU